Molecule: long non-coding RNA, 233 nt
Filed under: Lathyrus oleraceus (garden pea)
Lineage: Eukaryota; Viridiplantae; Streptophyta; Magnoliopsida; Fabales; Fabaceae
Description: Pisum sativum (pea) long non-coding RNA (PSAT_LNC023460)
Source: RNAcentral
AAAUAUGAAUGCAUUUGAAAUAUUGGACACGCUGGGAAUCGAACUUGGUUCAAAUCCAAACUGCGCGCGCCCUCACAAUACGACACCAUUUUGGCUGAAAACCCUAGCGAACCCAGAAUGGACGCAAAUCCGACGCUACUCCGACGCUAGUAUGAAGAUCUUCAUCUUCUUCAUGAAGAUGAAGAUGAACAGUAACAACAUCAAGAACAAAUUCUCCAGAAAUUCCAAACGAG